AUAAAAUCGAAAUACUUUUGUUGAAAAUUUCUCUAACUUUUGCAUACGAAAUAUUGAAAGUCAGUGUACAAAGCAACAACAUUUAAUUUUUUCAAUAUUUUACACAUUUAUAUGUAUAUGUGCUGUCGGAAAUGAUCAGCUGCACCCACACCUACGUCAACACCGGUUCCAGCGCCAAUGCCAACAAUACGCCCAGCACUACUCUCCAAGGGCACUACAAUGUUGCGUAAACUGUCGAUGCUAUUGCGUAGUUUAACGGUCUGGAAUUUAGCUGGCAAUUUCGGCGAACCUCCCACUGAAAAUGCUUUAAACUCCUAUGAAGCGGGCAGCGUUCAAGAAAUAAGACAAUUCAUAUACAAACCAAAUUAGUAUGUAUAAUUCUUUUGGUGCAUUAUUCUUUUAAUUGAACCAAAAAUCAAAUUUUGUGUACAAGAAUAAAGUAUCGAACAAAAUGCUUAAAAAAUAUUUGUAAACAUAUAUGCAUGUAAUAUCUACAAACUAAUAAAUAUAAAGUACUUCAAAGUGACGAAUUUCAUGUGAAAAUAAAUUGGUAUAAUUCAUUUGACCACGAUAUUAAAUAUAUGUAUAUCGAACUGAAUACAAAAAAAAACAAUAAGAAAAAAGCAUUUAAGAUAAAUUCGAAGUUAACUUACAAAUGAUAUUGUAUUGUGAAUUAAAAUGAAUUUGGAAAUUUGGAAAACAGUUGUUGAUUUUACUUGAAAAUUAUCCAAGUUAAAUUUUAUGAAAUGAAGCUUUAUUAUAUAAAUUAAAUGUUGUAAUGUGAAUGAAACUUUUCAAAAAGUCAAAUGAUGGCGUUUUAAAACUAUAACUAAGUGUAUAUUAAAUUAAACUGGCAUCUUCAUGCGAAGCUUUUGGAAAUCAAUAUUGAAAAUUGCAGUGUUGCCAUAUGUAAACU
This is a long non-coding RNA of Zeugodacus cucurbitae (melon fly), 916 nucleotides long. RefSeq lists it as uncharacterized. Lineage: Eukaryota; Metazoa; Arthropoda; Insecta; Diptera; Tephritidae. The record is from RefSeq and is a predicted model, not a curated record. The transcript has 2 exons.